AUAGUGUUCUAAGAACGAAGUUUUUAGAGCAGCCUGGGCCUCAGGGAGGAAGGCAGGGGCUCCUUCUCUGAGAGAGUGAGUUGGGGGAACAAGGAGGGAGGGCUUCCCAUGGCCCUGAUUUCAGGAUGUUGACUUGGGCUUGAAGAAUGGAGAUAAAACUUGCGGGAAGUAACAGGCUUAAGCCACUCUCCCCUCAUUUCCUACUUCUGUCUCUUCCUCUAGGUACAGCUGUUGGGAGCUGCCUCUCAUGCCCUCAAUCUCCCUGCCUGUGGUUCAGAGGGAAGAAGAGGGGAAAAAAGGAUGAAGAGAAUUAUCUCAGUGCUGGUGAAGCGGAAACCAGAUGACCCAGCAGCCACGGGCCCAGCCGCCCCAGCUCAACCCCAGCAGGACGCUGGAGGGGCCUCCCUCUCCCGCCUCCCUCCGCCGGCGCUGGCCUCCCGGACCCGGGUCUGCAGUCCCUCCGCCAACCCGCAGGUGUGCAGCCGCUUGGCCUGGGGGAUCCGAAUGACUGGGGCUGGAUAGGAAUGUCUUCGUGUUUCCCCAGACCCCCGGGCCUGUUCCGCAAAGUUUGGAGGGUGGGUACACCCCGACCCAGGCAAGUUGCUCCCCUAAAACCCAUAACUGACUAAUCUGAUAUGACAAAAGCCCGUGAUGGAUUUGGUAUAUGUUAAUUCACAAUGCCCUUUCCUCCAGAAUUUAACUAUAAGUUAAUACACACCGGAAACCACGCGCAUACAUGCUCCUUAAUGGGCUUAGGUAUUAGCGAGUCCUAACGAUGCAUACAAAUGUGCUCUGCGCUCUGUAGGCCCCUCAAGAUUUAUGGGCCUUGAGCUCUCUGAAGCUGUAAACAAGGAGGGGGAAAAAAAAGAGAAAGCGAAAGAGACUGGGGGGAAGAGACAGAGGCCUGACUCGCCCCUCCAGGUUGUGGGAGAGAAGGGAUUCUUUACGUAUUUUCCUUUCCUUGCUAGCUCGGUGCGUGUGGGUUUUGGCGUCGGUCUGGGGUGGUGUUCCGCCUGAAUGCUGGCGUGCGUGGGCAGUGUGUUCUUUGCGUGCCAGGGGAGGAUGCCUGCCUCUUUAGAUUGCUGUGCAGGGGCCUGAACAUAGCAGGCAUUUGUGAGCAUAUAUGCGUGAGUGUGUGCACGGUGUUAGGGGGUGUGUGUGUGUGUGUGUGUGUGUGUGACAGGCAGGCUUCCCUUUGGGCCAGGCUGCUGUCCCCUGAACCUGGUGAACAAAUCUCUAACAACAAUCAUAAUAACAAUAAAUAACGAAUAAUAAUAAUAAAACAGUAGUUAGCAGUCCCUGAAUAACAGGAUAACAAUAAAAUGCAAGAGGAAAUAUUUUGAGGAGGGGACAGAGGAAGAAGUCAGGAUCACAGCAUCUGAGGGGAAGAUAGGAAAGGACGGGAGGAAGAAAGCUUCUUAAUAUGCUCUUGGGGAGCUGAGGUUGGGAACCCCUUUCCCGGUCAAGGGACAAAAGAGAAGGAGAGCCCAGAGGCCACUCUUUAUUGCUUUUUUUUCUCGGCCUUUUGCUUGUGAUCAGGGAAGGGAUCCCACAUAUGGGGGUGGUUAAUGGUUUUUGGGACUCUCUGGGAGCCCCUGUUUUAAGGAGGAGGCCAAAUGUGCAGGGUCAGGCCAAGGGGCAGAGAUGAAUGAGGCGAUGACCACAGACUUGAUCCGGCAAGAGCGCAGAAAUGCCCGAGAGGACGAGCCCCCAGGGCCCGGACUGAAGAAGAAAAACAUUUAUGGCCGCCGGGGAGUGGGGAGAGCCAGACUGGGGCUCCAGCAGGCCCAGGACAAGUUCCCUUUCUAGGGUCUUUAUUUACAAAUUUAAAAGGAGGAGUUAAGGCGCCUUGAAUUUUCCUUCGCGAGCUUGGAGCCUAGCCGAUUUUUCAUGAAGGCAAAGACCACAGUCCCGGAUCCUGCAACAUCCACCUCAUUCUCUUCAGGUACAGUUUUCUGGUCAUUUAAUGAGUUUGUUUAUUCGGGGAGUCAGAGGCGUAGAGAUACUAAGUUUGCUGGAGAGGAAGCCGCCCCACAGUUUCGGGUCUAACGAAAUCCCUCCUUUAAAAACUAUUGUAUCAAGAAAAAUAAAAAUCAAAGAGGAAUAUAGAAACACAAAUUAGCCAACAUUUUUCAAAAGACAAGAAAAGAAAAUCAUCGUAACAAAUGAGCGUGAGAACUUCUAAAGAUUUGUCAGAAACCCUUUCAGAGGGUUGGAUUCUUUUUCAGAAGCCGGUGACCCAUUUGGUCUGAAGAGAGAAAUAGCCUAUCCACUGAGUUACUUAUUUAAAGCCAGUGCACACACUCAUUCGAGAAAGCUCUGGGUGCCCUCGCAUUUGAGAACAACACCGGGUUAAGGACGCUGCGAUACCUAGUCGGACAAAACAGCAAUAAAAUAAGACCAGUGGACGCGCUGAGCGCAGAGCGCGGGGCGAGGGCCCAGGUUU
Molecule: long non-coding RNA, 2446 nt
Filed under: Callithrix jacchus (white-tufted-ear marmoset)
Lineage: Eukaryota; Metazoa; Chordata; Mammalia; Primates; Cebidae
Description: lncRNA (ENSCJAG00000080003.1)
Source: RNAcentral